GAUGAACGCUGGCGGCGUGCCUAAUACGCGCAAGUCGAACGAAUCUUCUUCGGAAGAUGAGUGGCGAACGGGUGAGUAAUACAUAGGUAACCUGCCCCUGUGCGGGGGAUAACAGGAGGAAACUCCUGCUAAUACCGCAUAGCCAUGAGCACCGCAUGGAGCUCAUGCCAAAUAUCCUUUAUGGGAUAGCGCAGGGAUGGACCUAUGGCGCAUUAGCUGGUUGCGGGGCAACGGCCCACCAAGGCAACGAUGCGUAGCCGGCCUGAGAGGGCGGACGGGCACAUUGGGACUGAGACACGGCCCAGACUCCUACGGGAGGCAGCAGUAGGGAAUUUUCGGCAAUGGGGGAAACCCUGACCGAGCAACGCCGCGUGAGCGAAGAAGGCCUUCGGGUCGUAAAGCUCUGUUGUAAAGGAAGAACGGCGCAUACAGGAAAUGGUAUGCGAGUGACGGUACUUUACCAGAAAGCCACGGCUAACUACGUGCCAGCCGCCGCGGUAA
RNAcentral lists this ribosomal RNA (501 nucleotides) under uncultured bacterium. RNAcentral describes it as "partial 16S ribosomal RNA". It matches the Rfam family "Bacterial small subunit ribosomal RNA", at positions 28 to 523 of the family's 1533-position model. The record is from RNAcentral.